This 261-nucleotide ribosomal RNA is filed under the name uncultured prokaryote. RNAcentral describes it as "partial 16S ribosomal RNA". It matches the Rfam family "Bacterial small subunit ribosomal RNA", at positions 524 to 784 of the family's 1533-position model. The record is from RNAcentral.
UACGUAGGGUGCGAGCGUUGUCCGGAAUUAUUGGGCGUAAAGAGCUUGUAGGCGGUUUGUCGCGUCUGCUGUGAAAAUCCGGGGCUCAACCCCGGACUUGCAGUGGGUACGGGCAGACUAGAGUGUGGUAGGGGAGACUGGAAUUCCUGGUGUAGCGGUGGAAUGCGCAGAUAUCAGGAGGAACACCGAUGGCGAAGGCAGGUCUCUGGGCAGUAACUGACGCUGAGGAGCGAAAGCAUGGGUAGCGAACAGGAUUAGAUA